GAUGAAGAACGUAGCGAAAUGCGAUAAGUAGUGUGAAUUGCAGAAUUCAGUGAAUCAUCGAAUCUUUGAACGCACAUUGCGCCCCUUGGUAUUCCAUGGGGCAUGCCUGUUCGAGCGUCAUUUGUACCUUCAAGCUUUGCUUGGUGUUGGGUGUUUGUCCAUUCUCUUGCAGAGGGACUCGCCUUAAAGUAAUUGGCAGCCAGUGUUUUGGUUUUGAAGCGCAGCACAAGUCGCGAUUCAAAGCUAUACACCCGCUUCCACAAGCCUUUUUCACUUUUGACCUCGGAUCAGGUAGGGAUACCCGCUGAACUUAAGCAUAUCAAUAAGCGGAGGA
RNAcentral lists this unclassified non-coding RNA (334 nucleotides) under soil metagenome. RNAcentral describes it as "partial contains 5.8S ribosomal RNA, internal transcribed spacer 2, and large subunit ribosomal RNA". The stretch from base 1 to 120 matches the Rfam family "5.8S ribosomal RNA", at positions 35 to 154 of the family's 154-position model. The record is from RNAcentral.